Long non-coding RNA from Aptenodytes forsteri (emperor penguin), 2893 nucleotides. RefSeq lists it as uncharacterized. Lineage: Eukaryota; Metazoa; Chordata; Aves; Sphenisciformes; Spheniscidae. The record is from RefSeq and is a predicted model, not a curated record. The transcript has 14 exons.
AAGUGUGUUUGUUGGCUAUUGGUUUAUCAUGUGUGGUUACACGGAGAUACCACUGUCUGAGGAGUUCAAGCAACUCACUUGCAAGCAAAGAUUAUGAUUUUAUGAUGGAAAUAAACUGUGCCUUGGUGAAAAUGAUGGAGGUCCAAGGUGAGGGGAGACAGACACAAUGACGGGACACCCCAAACCUGGAAUUACUAUUAAGGACAUAAUCCUGUAAAUGCUGUGAAUUUAAUGCAUGAAACUCAUAUAAUGUGAAUGAUCCCACUACAAUCAAAUACGCUCUUCUGUAAAGCCUGGUUUUGCUGAAGUAAGUGUGACUUUUGCCACUGGAUUCAUAGCGGUCACCUUAUUUCUGAACAUGUCUGAAGGUUGAUCCCAAGGGUAUUAAGAAAAGAGGAAAAAACAGUUUCCACGUCGAAGGACUAAACAAGCUCUGCAGAGGCUUCUGCCACUGACUUCAAUAGCCUCUGGAUCUGUUACAAUAUCCGUAAACCCAAAUCCAUACAAGCACUUAGAGGAACACUUAGGAUACUGAAAAAGUACCACUUCCAGGCCCUAGACCCUGUUUGUGCUGGCUACUGUGUUAAGAAGUGCGUAACAAACCAGAGUCCUUGACCCGAGGAAUCUCCAUGCUCUGUCUUGUGGAAGGAUUUCUAAUGGAAGGCAACAUGAAUGAGGCAACAGGAUUUCAGCCAACGUAUAGAAAAAAGCUGCUCACCGGUCUUGUGGUUUGUGGAUGAGGACCAGAACCCAUUGAUCUGUGCACUGGAGGGAAGGCACUGAUCACUGGGGCUGGUGACCUAUAUGUGAAAGCAUGACUGACAGCAGUUGCGAUUGCAAAACAAACUGGAGAAGAAAUGAAGAAACGCCUCAUGCUGAGGAUGCACUCAAAUGAAAACUCAGAAAUGAAAAGUCAAAAAGGCAAUUAAGUGAUCUGUGCAUGGAUGCUGCUGCCGUCUCCAGAAGAAAAAAUGAGUGCUUAAUCAGAAGCAUAAAUUCAUAAGACUGGCUAAUGAUACUCUCCUUCAACCUGAGCACUUCUGCUGGAACAGAGGGAUAUUCAAAAUCUUCCUGUCUCCUGGAAAGUCCAUAGAGCUGGAGGCAGUAUCAUGGAAUCCUUGGUUAGAGCAAAGUGAGUGGGAAUAUCUGUGAGUUGGAAAAUAUAUCCACAAGACCACUGGAAACUGCAUAUUUUUAUUUAAACUCGAUCCUGCUGUGCUUAGUGUCAGAGUUGAAAAGUGAACCUGGUAUGAACAGAAAGUGAAGCAGAAAACUACAAUUUGGCUUCCCCAGAUCAGCAAAUGGCAAAAUCAACCAGGGCUUUGUCAGAGUGGAAGAGCUGCAAUUGGUUAAUACUCAAUACUCAGACAGGCUGUUGAAUUUCCAGUCUGGUUUUCUAAUUUAGAAGUGCUACUGGAUGACAUAAAUGUUUGAAUGGAAAGGAACAUAGGAGACCUAAUAGGAAAUCUGUAGCCAGAGUGCCCUAUUACUUCAUCACAGACUCUUAGGAGAUGGUUCUCUUCCCUCAUCCCUAAAAGUAAAGGCGAUCUUAGUUUAUCUGGCUUCUCAGAUAACCUGUUACAGAAGGCCACCUCAAUAUUUGAAAAGUACUGACUUUAUUUGAAAAACAUUAAGUCCUGUAAUGGAUUACAUUGGAAGAGGGGCUAACUGGGCUGGAGAUGGGGGGUGCUUUGAGCAGUCUUAACUGAUGGAAGGAGAAGAUAGGUAGGGAAGGAAAAAACCUCCCCUGCCUACUAAAAUGCCACGUACCUAGGACUGGUCCUGUGUAAACUCUCAGAGCUCCCAAGUACUGGCUUUUAUACUGUACUUCAAGUGAGACCAAAGAAUGGAAAACUGGUCGUCUGAGUUAUUUUGAGGUUUUUAUUAUGUUCAGGGAUUAAUUUGGAUGACAACAAUGGUGUUUUUAGUGCAACAAGUAGAAUUAAAUAAGCAGUCUGGCAGAAGAUCUGAGAAGCAGAAGGUGAAAAUAAAUAAAAUGGAGCAGUGAAGAAUGCAGAAAGAAACAGAAAGUGUUCAAAGGCAUGCAAACACGAUGAAGGCUGAAGCCAAAUUCAUAUGCAAACAUCUAAGAACUGCUUAGUGAGUCCAUCCAAAAUCCUGCUCCUGAAGAAGAGAUUGGUUGGUGUUUACGGAACAGAAACUAUACUCUUGGUCCUAAUUACGUCAUGGAGCAUUAGGUGCUCAUGGAAGAAACAGAUAAACAUACUCUAGGCAGCAGCGGCAGCGCAUGCUCACCGUGCUAUCCAGCCAACGUUCCUCAACUCUGACCUGAGGACCACCUCUGGAGCCUGCAUCUACAGUCUCACAACACAGAGAAAAUAAAUCCUGAUGAUGUUAAACGUUUGGAGCAAAACUCUGACAAUUUCACUUUUGCAACAGGAACAUGAUGGCCUAUUUUCUGUUUUUCCCAGAAGGUUGUUGGAAUUUACCUUGGAAAUUGUGUGAAAGCUUCAGAGAGCCGGGUUUUCUUGGCAACACCAGGCAGUAGUCAUUUCUGAACAAACAAGAUUGAAAUUUAUGUCUCAGUGAAGCAAUACUGGAAGCCUGUUUGACGUGCUGCACAAAGACCAUUUCCGACGCUCUCCGCCAGAUGAAUUUCCUCCGUGUGCCGGAGCAUUACUGCAACAUCCUUUUCUCCCCUAUGGCUUCAAGGGGACUGGGCUGCUGUGCCAGAGCUGACUGCUUUACCUUUUGGGACCUUGUGCCGCGCUCCCACAUUAAAAGGUUCAAACCUAGCAAUGAAGACACAAUUUCUGCAGUGAGGAACUGGAUGUUGACUUUAUACAACUUACUGAUGGAGAAAGUAGUAACACCUGAGAAUAAUGACUGCCAAAGGAAAAAAAGCUUCUGUGUGCUUCAGCUGGGGCUUCUG